RNAcentral lists this ribosomal RNA (253 nucleotides) under uncultured bacterium. Its description in RNAcentral is "partial 16S ribosomal RNA". It matches the Rfam family "Bacterial small subunit ribosomal RNA", at positions 524 to 776 of the family's 1533-position model. The record is from RNAcentral.
CACGGGGGGGGCAAGCGUUGUUCGGAAUUACUGGGCGUAAAGGGUUCGUAGGUGGCCAACUAAGUCAUACGUGAAAUCCCUCAGCUUAACUGGGGAACUGCGUCUGAUACUGGUUGGCUUGAGUGCAGGAGAGGAACGCGGAAUUCCAGGUGUAGCGGUGAAAUGCGUAGAUAUCUGGAGGAACACCGGUGGCGAAGGCGGCGUUCUGGACUGCAACUGACACUGAGGAACGAAAGCCAGGGGAGCAAACGGG